GGGGUUUAAGUAAGGUAACGGCAAGGGUUGUGUGAUGUGGAUCAACUAGCAAGGUUGGGAAGAAGGAAGUUGGAUGUUUGUUUGGAAAAUGAUUAUCAGGUGUUGGAUGAGUUUUGGAAGAAAAGGGUGAGGGUUUUGAUUUGAGACAAGAGCUCUGAUUAGAGGACAUACAACACG
Long non-coding RNA from Zingiber officinale, 177 nucleotides. RefSeq lists it as uncharacterized. NCBI's taxonomy places the organism in Eukaryota, Viridiplantae, Streptophyta, Magnoliopsida, Zingiberales, Zingiberaceae. The transcript is spliced from 4 exons. The record is from RefSeq and is a predicted model, not a curated record.